AUUGAACGCUGGCGGCAUGCUUUACACAUGCAAGUCGAACGGUAACAGGUUAAGCUAACGAGUGGCGAACGGGUGAGUAAUGCAUCGGAACGUGCCCGGUCGUGGGGGAUAACGCAGCGAAAGCUGCGCUAAUACCGCAUACGAUCUGAGGAUGAAAGCGGGGGACCGUAAGGCCUCGCGCGAUCGGAGCGGCCGAUGUCAGAUUAGAUGGUUGGUGGGGUAAAGGCUCACCAAGCCAACGAUCUGUAGCUGGUCUGAGAGGACGACCAGCCACACUGGGACUGAGACACGGCCCAGACUCCUACGGGAGGCAGCAGUGGGGAAUUUUGGACAAUGGGCGAAAGCCUGAUCCAGCAAUGCCGCGUGCAGGAAGAAGGCCUUCGGGUUGUAAACUGCUUUUGUACGGAGCGAAAAGGUCUCCUCUAAUACAGGGGGCUCAUGACGGUACCGUAAGAAUAAGCACCGGCUAACUACGUGCCAGCCGCCGCCGUAA
This 493-nucleotide ribosomal RNA is filed under the name uncultured bacterium. Its description in RNAcentral is "partial 16S ribosomal RNA". It matches the Rfam family "Bacterial small subunit ribosomal RNA", at positions 30 to 523 of the family's 1533-position model. The record is from RNAcentral.